UACGGAGGGUGCAAGCGUUGUUCGGAAUUAUUGGGCGUAAAGCGCGCGCAGGCGGUCUGACAAGUCUAUGGGUGAAAUGCCGGGGCUCAACCCCGUGCAUGCCCAGGAUACUGUCAGACUGGAGACACGUAGAGGCAAGCGGAAUUCCGGGUGUAGCGGUGGAAUGCGUAGAGAUCCGGAAGAACACCGGAGGCGAAGGCGGCUUGCUGGGCGUGAUCUGACGCUGAGGCGCGAAAGCGUGGGGAGCGAACAGG
This 254-nucleotide ribosomal RNA is filed under the name uncultured bacterium. RNAcentral's name for it is "partial 16S ribosomal RNA". It matches the Rfam family "Bacterial small subunit ribosomal RNA", at positions 524 to 776 of the family's 1533-position model. The record is from RNAcentral.